AGUCAGUCUCCUGGCUGGAGUC
Molecule: microRNA, 22 nt
Filed under: Mus musculus (house mouse)
Lineage: Eukaryota; Metazoa; Chordata; Mammalia; Rodentia; Muridae
Description: mmu-miR-344f-5p
Gene: mmu-miR-344f-5p
Source: miRBase by way of RNAcentral